RNAcentral lists this ribosomal RNA (445 nucleotides) under uncultured bacterium. Its description in RNAcentral is "bacterial SSU rRNA". It matches the Rfam family "Bacterial small subunit ribosomal RNA", at positions 329 to 792 of the family's 1533-position model. The record is from RNAcentral.
UCCCAGACUCCUACGGGAGGCAGCAGUGGGGGAUAUUGCACAAUGGAGGAAACUCUGAUGCAGCGACGCCGCGUGAGGGAAGACGGUCUUCGGAUUGUAAACCUCUGUCUUUGGGGAAGAAAAUGACGGUACCCAAAGAGGAAGCUCCGGCUAACUACGUGCCAGCAGCCGCGGUAAUACGGAGGAUGCGAGCGUUAUCCGGAUUUAUUGGGUUUAAAGGGUGCGUAGGCGGAAUGCCAAGUCAGCGGUAAAAUCGCGGGGCUCAACCCCGUACUGCCGUUGAAACUGCAUCCCUUGAGUGCGCGAGAAGUAUGCGGAAUGCGUGGUGUAGCGGUGAAAUGCAUAGAUAUCACGCAGAACUCCGAUUGCGAAGGCAGCAUACCGGCGCGCAACUGACGCUCAUGCACGAAAGCGUGGGUAUCGAACAGGAUUAGAUACCCGCGUA